CAAUAGCGUAUAUUAAAGUUGUUGCAGUUAAAAAGCUCGUAGUUGGAUUUCUGGUAGGAGUGACCGUUCCGAACUUGAUUGUUCGUGUAUUGUGUUUUCUCCAGCCAUCCUUGUGGAGAACUUUUCUUGCAUUAAUUUGUAGGGAUUGGGACCCGCAUCGUUUACUGUGAAAAAAUUAGAGUGUUUAAAGCAGGCAAUCGCUUGAAUACAUUAGCAUGGAAUAAUAAGAUAGGACUUUGGUACUAUUCUGUUGGUUUGCAUACCAAAUUAAUGAUCAACAGGAACAGUUUGAGGAUAUUCGUAUGAACAUGUCAGAGGUGAAAUUCUUGGAUUUUGAUCAGACGAACUACUGCGAAAGCAUUUAUCAAGGAUGUUUUCAUUAA
RNAcentral lists this ribosomal RNA (383 nucleotides) under uncultured eukaryote. RNAcentral describes it as "partial 18S ribosomal RNA". It matches the Rfam family "Eukaryotic small subunit ribosomal RNA", at positions 592 to 976 of the family's 1831-position model. The record is from RNAcentral.